ACCUAAUCAAGUUUGAGUUGCUUUCCAAAACCCUAGUUUUCAAUCCUUUGUUUUAACCCCUUUUGUGUAAUGCAAAAUCUCGCUUCACAUGCUAUCUCAUGUUAAUUGCUAUUGUGAGAUAUAUGCCUUGUCUUGUUGUUAUGUUUCACAUACUAUGCUUUCAUGCUUUUAAUAAUAACAUGCUUCACAUGUUAGUUGAUCGAAUGUUCCAUAUUGCUAUGGAUAUGAGUGAUAUCAUGAUUUCUAUGAUUAAUAAUCUUUUAUAUGUCAUCAAUGUAAUAUUAAUUUAUGGAAUUAAAAUGACAUUGAAACUGCCUAUUUAUCUAACAUGAUAAGGGCCAUGUAGAUGAGGGAUCAUUGUACAUGCAGAUAACCGCUCCUUUGAAAAUCCUUCUAUAAAAGGAGAAGCCGAAUGAACAUGGGUACAUGGCAGCACGUGUAUACACAAGAGAGAAAAUUAUUUGAGCACGUGCAUAUGUAUACCGUAUGAUGCACACGUCCUUCAAGCGCUCUCUACCGUGUACCCGACGAAAUCCGGUACGGAGAAGGAACCGGGUGAGGAGGAGCCUCGAGAGGAGGAAUCUUUUCUACAUACUAUAUCACUUCCUAUUUCUAUAUGCAGAAACCAAAUUGUGGAAUGAAGGUGCUUUGAUCCAACGGCACCGUGCACGUACGAGCCUAUCUUCGGAGCACAACCCUACUAUGGCCAGACGAGCAGGGACCAGCAGGUAAUCCCACUUGCCACCUAAUAAACAGAUAAGAAACCUAACAAACCAACAACAUUAUAUUUUGGGAAUAUUGUGUUCUUGCCCUUACUUUAAUGUCCAAUUAUGAUUUUACCCUUGUUUUUGGCGCAUUUGUGAUCUUACGCCUACUUUGUAACUACUAAUGCUAAGUUUACCCCUAGUUUUAACUCUGUUAGUUGUUUCUAUAAUAAAAAAAAUAAAAAACAACAAAACCCCNNNN
RNAcentral lists this long non-coding RNA (966 nucleotides) under Sorghum bicolor (sorghum). RNAcentral describes it as "long non-coding RNA (SBIC_LNC008056)". Lineage: Eukaryota; Viridiplantae; Streptophyta; Magnoliopsida; Poales; Poaceae. The record is from RNAcentral.